RNAcentral lists this ribosomal RNA (519 nucleotides) under uncultured Planctomycetota bacterium. Its description in RNAcentral is "bacterial SSU rRNA". It matches the Rfam family "Bacterial small subunit ribosomal RNA", at positions 117 to 643 of the family's 1533-position model. Lineage: Bacteria; Pseudomonadati; Planctomycetota. The record is from RNAcentral.
GUAGAAUACCAACCUUGGGGUCGGGGAUAGCCGCGGGAAACUGCGGGUAAUACCCGAUAACAUCUCCGGAUCAAAGGUGUGAUUCCGCCCUUAGACGGGUCUGCGUCCUAUUAGCUUGUUGGUAGGGUAACGGCCUACCAAGGCGAUGAUGGGUAGCGGGUGUGAGAGCACGACCCGCGUCAUUGGGACUGAGACACUGCCCAGACACCUACGGGUGGCUGCAGUCGAGGAUCUUCGGCAAUGGGCGCAAGCCUGACCGAGCGACGCCGCGUGUGGGAUGAAGGCCUUCGGGUUGUAAACCACUGUCAGUGGGGAGGAAAUUCGACGGGGGUUCUCCCCCGUGAUUGACCUAUCCGCAGAGGAAGGGUGGGCUAAGCUCGUGCCAGCAGCCGCGGUAAGACGAGCCACCCAAACGUUAUUCGGAAUUACUGGGCUUAAAGGGUGCGUAGGCGGUGCAGCAAGUCGGGAGUGAAAAUACCCCAGCUUAACUGAGGAAUUGCUUUCGAUACUGCUGUGCUU